Molecule: ribosomal RNA, 407 nt
Filed under: Neisseria meningitidis
Lineage: Bacteria; Pseudomonadati; Pseudomonadota; Betaproteobacteria; Neisseriales; Neisseriaceae
Description: bacterial SSU rRNA
Rfam family: Bacterial small subunit ribosomal RNA
Source: RNAcentral
GAGAAGCUUGCUUCUUGGGUGGCGAGUGGCGAACGGGUGAGUAACAUAUCGGAACGUACCGAGUAGUGGGGGAUAACUGAUCGAAAGAUCAGCUAAUACCGCAUACGUCUUGAGAGGGAAAGCAGGGGACCUUCGGGCCUUGCGCUAUUCGAGCGGCCGAUAUCUGAUUAGCUAGUUGGUGGGGUAAAGGCCUACCAAGGCGACGAUCAGUAGCGGGUCUGAGAGGAUGAUCCGCCACACUGGGACUGAGACACGGCCCAGACUCCUACGGGAGGCAGCAGUGGGGAAUUUUGGACAAUGGGCGCAAGCCUGAUCCAGCCAUGCCGCGUGUCUGAAGAAGGCCUUCGGGUUGUAAAGGACUUUUGUCAGGGAAGAAAAGGCUGUUGCUAAUAUCAUCAGCUGAUGAC